This 69-nucleotide transfer RNA is filed under the name Capra hircus (goat). It matches the Rfam family "tRNA". From Rfam's summary of the family: Transfer RNA (tRNA) molecules are approximately 80 nucleotides in length. The record is from Rfam by way of RNAcentral. RNAcentral also lists the same sequence under 1 other name. Lineage: Eukaryota; Metazoa; Chordata; Mammalia; Artiodactyla; Bovidae.
CCUGGUGGCUCAGAUGGUAAAGCAUCUGCCUGAAAUGCAGGAGACCUGGGUUCGAUCCUUGGGUCAGGA